Molecule: ribosomal RNA, 495 nt
Filed under: uncultured bacterium
Lineage: Bacteria
Description: partial 16S ribosomal RNA
Rfam family: Bacterial small subunit ribosomal RNA
Source: RNAcentral
GACGAACGCUGGCGGCGUGCCUAAUACAUGCAAGUAGAACGCUGAAGGAGGAGCUUGCUUCUCCGGAUGAGUUGCGAACGGGUGAGUAACGCGUAGGUAACCUGCCUGGUAGCGGGGGAUAACUAUUGGAAACGAUAGCUAAUACCGCAUAACAGUAGAUAUUGCAUGAUAUCUGCUUGAAAGGUGCAAUUGCAUCACUACCAGAUGGACCUGCGUUGUAUUAGCUAGUUGGUGAGGUAACGGCUCACCAAGGCGACGAUACAUAGCCGACCUGAGAGGGUGAUCGGCCACACUGGGACUGAGACACGGCCCAGACUCCUACGGGAGGCAGCAGUAGGGAAUCUUCGGCAAUGGACGGAAGUCUGACCGAGCAACGCCGCGUGAGUGAAGAAGGGUUUCGGAUCGUAAAGCUCUGUUGUAAGAGAAGAACGAGUGUGAGAGUGGAAAGUUCACACUGUGACGGUAGCUUACCAGAAAGGGACGGCUAACUACGUG